Talpa occidentalis (Iberian mole) is the source of this 3472-nucleotide long non-coding RNA. RefSeq lists it as uncharacterized. Lineage: Eukaryota; Metazoa; Chordata; Mammalia; Eulipotyphla; Talpidae. The record is from RefSeq and is a predicted model, not a curated record. The transcript is spliced from 6 exons.
GGCCCCGUCAGCUGUCCUGCUGUCCUAGGAGGAGGAAGGCACAAUGCGGACUGCGCUGCUAGGCACUGUCUUACUGCCCCACACGCAAGUGGCCCUCAGGGGGAAGGCAGAGCUUGAAGACAGACUCCGAGCCCCUUUCUCUCUGAGACACAAGGGGUUAGUGCCAGGGAUCCAAUUACUUGCAGGACCCACAAAAGCGUUCCAUUUCGGGAGGAAAAAACUAACUUUUCGAGUGGAGGAAGUUGUUUUCAUUUUGAAUCCAGCCCGGAUUAUAUGUGUCUUUAUACCAAUGCAGCUUUGGAGUUUUUGUUUGUUGGUUUGUUUUUUGUUUUACGGCAGAAUGGGCCACAGAGGUAGCAGGAAAGUCACACAGCAGUCCUGAUCAGACGGAUGUGGUUUCAAAGCUGGCCCCCCGGUUUAGGACCCUGUGCUCCAGGAAAAUGCAAGUCCCCUCUCAGCUCCUGCUUCCUCACCCACAGGGUGGGGGGAUGUUGAGAUCCACCUAAUGGCCAGGAGCAAAGCUUCAGUGGGGUAAGUAGGUACCAGCACCCAGCCCCGUGCUGCACGCAGCAGACCCUGGAUCAAGCCAUAGUCUGACAAAUUCUGGUCCUCAUGGCCCCUGAGGCGUCAUCCCACAUCAGAAGCUGUUGACACCGGAGGAGGUGGACGCGGAGAGCCGAUGGCAGCAAACAGCAUGGCUUCUAGGAAAUCAAGAAAGCUACAAGGAAGUGGCCAUGCUUUGUUUGCUGUUGGGCUUUUCUUUCCAUUUGCUAUCAAUGCAGAGGAAUCAAUCCAGGCAUCCUGGACGGGGCUUCAUCUAAUGAGUCUCAGAAACUCCCCAGGCUGCGGGGCAGGACAAGGAGAGGCGGGCAGAAGGGAGGAAGACUGGGAGGGGGCAGCCUCUGCGGACAUGCCUGGGACUCCGGCCCCAGGGGCUCCUCUCCGCGCCCUGGAGGAAGGAGCAGGCUCCGGUGGGUGUCAGGGUGUCAAAGGCAGCUCAGUUCUGCUCCUCGCAGGCCUCAGCUCAGCGCCCACCAGGCCAGUCAGGGUUGCCCCAGGGAGAAGCUGCUCCUUGUCGUGCCAACAAGCUACGGGCGCUAGGGGAGAAGGCGAAGGGCCCUCCUGGCCGUCCACCCGCCCGGAGGACUAAGGAAGGGGCGGGAAGCGCCUCCACCGGGAAGCAAUUUGCAGCCUCGGCUUCAGGUUUCAAAGCACCUGCCGUGCGGAAGGCUGAUCCCACCUGCCUCGCUUCUAGAACAGGCCAAGUCGCGCGCGGCCCGCAGGGCCAGUGUUGGGGACCAGAGAAGAGCAGCCGGAGCGUCUAGCAGGACAGCAGCCAUGGUGGCAGGCGAAGCAGGGAAGUUUCUGGAACCCCCAUGAAAACAGCGCCUCUUCGCCCGGCAGAGGAGAGAGGAGCUGCACGUGCGGAGAGGAAAGCAGCAGUGGAGCAGACAGAUUCACCAUUGAGAAAAAUUCAUCAUUUUCUCUCACCGCCUUUGGAUGAAAGAAGAGCCAUUUCCACCACAAGAAAAAAGUAGACGGGAUUCUUAGAAGAAAAGCCAUUGUGAAUAAGAAGCCUCUGGCGCCUGGCAGCUGGGUGCCCGAGGGCUCCAGAGCUGUGUCGCGCGCUUGUUUCUCUGCCUUCAGUGCUGAGUCUGGAAGACCUUACCAGGCUCUGCAGAGGACCUGCCUCCGGGAAUCGCUGACAGAGGGACCCGUGCAGGACACCGAGGGCGGGACAAGGGACACGGAGCAGGCAAGGCCACCCCUGGGGGCCCUUUGGACGACUCCACCCAGCGCUGUGGAUCUUGUCCUGUAGAAAGAAGACCUUAACCGAAGUGCCAGCCUGUCUCCAGUACCCUCACAAUUCCACUGGAUGCUCAUCUGAGGGCAACCUGGUCCCUACUCGGUCUGGCAAGAGUAAACAUGUCCUAGCAUGCUGGCUACACCUGGUUUAGCCUCUUCCUGGAUCCUUCUGCUCCACCACCAUGAUCCUGGCCACCCCCUCCCCCACCCCCUCCGGCUAUUCAUGGGUCAGAGCCCCUCCUGCGGAGCCCUCCCCAACACCACAAGCCCGGACAUCUGGGUAUCCUCCCAUCAUUCGACCCUCCUCAGCUUCAUUUAGUUUUCAGCCAAGCAUUAGCACCCACACACCUGCGCAGACACAUGUUUGUUGUGUCUCCUGCCACCCACAGAUACUUGGAGCAGAGUCAGCUCCCCAGGAGUUGAGUGCCCAGCUUGCACAGUCUGGCUGCACUGGGGGCUCAGCCACCUCUUGUUGAGUUAUUAAAGCAGCAAGUUUGUGACGGGGUGGUGUCCCCUGACUCAGCUGCUGGAGUCAGCCAAGAGCACCAGAUGGGGUGUAGAUACGCUGCUGGGAAGCGCACGAUUUCAGUUAGUUUGAGCUUGUGAAAUGUUUAUCAGACUCAAGAGCGACUUCAAGGACCCUUAGGUGUCAAGGAUUCCCCCUGGAAUCCACCGGCCUACUUGAGCCUUAAAGAAUUCUGCACAGCCAGGAAGCCUCCAGGGCAAAGGGAUCUUAGCAUCAUUGCCAUCAGAAUUCAGACCCCAGAUGGAUUCUUCCAGAAAGAGUUGAGGUGCUGAUUUGGAAGCUGUCUUCCCAUUCCCCGAUUCCUGGACAUCUCCCCCCAAAAUCUUAACCCUAGGGCUGGGCUGACCAAUAUAGAGUCCAGUCACAUGUGCCAUUGAACAUCUGAAAUGUUGCCAAUGCAUCUGGAUUUUCAUUUUACUUAAUUUAAAAACAGAAAGCUGUGUAGCUAUUUAUUCCACUAAACACAAGUUUAUUGCUUUGGUAGGACUAAAUUUCACUCUAGCUGUUGAAAAAUGUAGCAUCCAAACAGAGAGGUGUAACAUGCACACCAGCUCUUUAAAGGCAAUACAAAUUUUUAUACGGAUUAGCUGUGGAAAUGAUAAUAUUUUGGACAUAAUGGUUUAAGUGAAAGGUUAUUAAAUGAAUGUUUCUUUUUAAUUUUUUCAGUGCAGAUACUAGAAAAUACAAACUUUUAGAUCGGUUCUCUAUUUCCAUUGAAAAGACAUGUCCUUCAUUACAAGGGGGUUCCACUGAACGGUGCGGGUCUAGAGUCUAAACAAACUGCCCUGACCUUGGCCUCCAAGCAUCUGGGGCUCCAUCUUUCUACACUUGUCUCAGGCUAUUUGCAGGGGGCCUAGCCCUCUCUGACUCUCUAAACUCUGCCUUCCCCCCAGGAAACUCCCUUGCCCGGCCCCUCCUGCCUGCACCGUUGUCUGCCUCUAACUCCUGAGCACCUACUGUUUACACCAGCCAUAAACAUUAGCUCCAGAGAGCUUAUUGUCUCUCCACCCAAUUUUUACAUUAAAGGUGAUAAUCCUGUGUUUCUCUCUUAGCUCAGUGCCUGGCAUAUAAGUAAUGUUAGUCGAUGAUUUUGAUCAUGUUAAUUACCUCUUGGUGUAGUGCGGCAACGUCAUUUUCCCA